Molecule: ribosomal RNA, 488 nt
Filed under: Granulicatella adiacens
Lineage: Bacteria; Bacillati; Bacillota; Bacilli; Lactobacillales; Carnobacteriaceae
Description: bacterial SSU rRNA
Rfam family: Bacterial small subunit ribosomal RNA
Source: RNAcentral
GACGAACGCUGGCGGCGUGCCUAAUACAUGCAAGUCGAACGAGAGCGACCGGUGCUUGCACUGGUCAAUCUAGUGGCGAACGGGUGAGUAACACGUGGGUAACCUGCCCAUCAGAGGGGGAUAACAUUCGGAAACGGAUGCUAAAACCGCAUAGGUCCUUUAACCGCAUGGUUGAAGGAGGAAAAGAGGCGCAAGCUUCUGCUGAUGGAUGGACCCGCGGUGCAUUAGCUAGUUGGUGAGGUAACGGCUCACCAAGGCCGUGAUGCAUAGCCGACCUGAGAGGGUGAUCGGCCACAUUGGGACUGAGACACGGCCCAAACUCCUACGGGAGGCAGCAGUAGGGAAUCUUCCGCAAUGGACGCAAGUCUGACAGAGCAACGCCGCGUGAGUGAAGAAGGUUUUCGGAUCGUAAAACUCUGUUGUUAGAGAAGAACAAGUGCUAGAGUAACUGUUAGCGCCUUGACGGUAUCUAACCAGAAAGCCCGGUA